This 497-nucleotide ribosomal RNA is filed under the name uncultured bacterium. RNAcentral describes it as "partial 16S ribosomal RNA". It matches the Rfam family "Bacterial small subunit ribosomal RNA", at positions 28 to 507 of the family's 1533-position model. The record is from RNAcentral.
GAUGAACGCUGGCGGCGUGCCUAAUACAUGCAAGUCGAGCGCACAGACGAGGAGCUUGCUCCUCUGACGUUAGCGGCGGACGGGUGAGUAACACGUGGAUAACCUACCUAUAAGACUGGGAUAACUUCGGGAAACCGGAGCUAAUACCGGAUAAUAUAUUGAACCGCAUGGUUCAAUAGUGAAAGACGGUUUUGCUGUACCUAAUAGAUGGAUCCGCGUCGCAUUAGCUAGUUGGUAAGGUAACGGCUUACCAAGGCAACGAUGCGUAGCCGACCUGAGAGGGUGAUCGGCCACACUGGAACUGAGACACGGCCCAGACUCCUACGGGAGGCAGCAGUAGGGAAUCUUCGGCAAUGGGCGAAAGCUUGACGGAGCAACGCCGCGUGAGUGAUGAAGGUCUUCGGAUCGUAAAACUCUGUUAGUAGGGAAGAACAAAUGUGUAAGUAACUAGGCACGUCUGGACGGUACCUAAUCAGAAAGCCACGGCUAACUACGUG